GUAACACGUGGGUAACCUGCCUGUAAGACUGGGAUAACUCCGGGAAACCGGGGCUAAUACCGGAUGCUUGAUUGAACCGCAUGGUUCAAUCAUAAAAGGUGGCUUUUAGCUACCACUUACAGAUGGACCCGCGGCGCAUUAGCUAGUUGGUGAGGUAACGGCUCACCAAGGCGACGAUGCGUAGCCGACCUGAGAGGGUGAUCGGCCACACUGGGACUGAGACACGGCCCAGACUCCUACGGGAGGCAGCAGUAGGGAAUCUUCCGCAAUGGACGAAAGUCUGACGGAGCAACGCCGCGUGAGUGAUGAAGGUUUUCGGAUCGUAAAACUCUGUUGUUAGGGAAGAACAAGUACCGUUCGAAUAGGGCGGUACCUUGACGGUACCUAACCAGAAAGCCACGGCUAACUACGUGCCAGCAGCCGCGGUAAUACGUAGGUGGCAAGCGUUGUCCGGAAUUAUUGGGCGUAAAGCGCGCGCAGGCGGUUUCUUAAGUCUGAUGUGAAAGCCCCCGGCUCAACCGGGGAGGGUCAUUGGAAACUGGGGAACUUGAGUGCAGAAGAGGAGAGUGGAAUUCCACGUGUAGCGGUGAAAUGCGUAGAGAUGUGCAGGAACACCAGUGGCGAAGGCGACUCUCUGGUCUGUAACUGACGCUGAGGCGCGAAAGCGUGGGGAGCGAACAGGAUUAGAUACCCUGGUAGUCCACGCCGUAAACGAUGAGUGCUAAGUGUUAGAGGGUUUCCGCCCUUUAGUGCUGCAGCAAACGCAUUAAGCACUCCGCCUGGGUAGUACCGGUCGCAAGACUGAUACUCCUAGGGAAUUGACGGGA
Molecule: ribosomal RNA, 827 nt
Filed under: Bacillus licheniformis
Lineage: Bacteria; Bacillati; Bacillota; Bacilli; Caryophanales; Bacillaceae
Description: bacterial SSU rRNA
Rfam family: Bacterial small subunit ribosomal RNA
Source: RNAcentral